CUCCAUGGUGGACCGGGCGGGGGCACUGAAAAGUGCGCUGGUGUCAGUGAAGCCAGUAGUUCCAACCCUGCCCGGCUCCACCACCAAU
RNAcentral lists this non-coding RNA (88 nucleotides) under Enterobacter sp. BIGb0383. Lineage: Bacteria; Pseudomonadati; Pseudomonadota; Gammaproteobacteria; Enterobacterales; Enterobacteriaceae. RNAcentral also lists the same sequence under 1 other name. The record is from RNAcentral.